RNAcentral lists this ribosomal RNA (2641 nucleotides) under Escherichia coli. RNAcentral describes it as "partial 23S ribosomal RNA". It matches the Rfam family "Bacterial large subunit ribosomal RNA", at positions 288 to 2915 of the family's 2925-position model. The record is from RNAcentral. Lineage: Bacteria; Pseudomonadati; Pseudomonadota; Gammaproteobacteria; Enterobacterales; Enterobacteriaceae.
GAACGGGGAGCAGCCCAGAGCCUGAAUCAGUGUGUGUGUUAGUGGAAGCGUCUGGAAAGGCGUGCGAUACAGGGUGACAGCCCCGUACACAAAAAUGCACAUGCUGUGAGCUCGAUGAGUAGGGCGGGACACGUGGUAUCCUGUCUGAAUAUGGGGGGACCAUCCUCCAAGGCUAAAUACUCCUGACUGACCGAUAGUGAACCAGUACCGUGAGGGAAAGGCGAAAAGAACCCCGGCGAGGGGAGUGAAAAAGAACCUGAAACCGUGUACGUACAAGCAGUGGGAGCACGCUUAGGCGUGUGACUGCGUACCUUUUGUAUAAUGGGUCAGCGACUUAUAUUCUGUAGCAAGGUUAACCGAAUAGGGGAGCCGAAGGGAAACCGAGUCUUAACUGGGCGUUAAGUUGCAGGGUAUAGACCCGAAACCCGGUGAUCUAGCCAUGGGCAGGUUGAAGGUUGGGUAACACUAACUGGAGGACCGAACCGACUAAUGUUGAAAAAUUAGCGGAUGACUUGUGGCUGGGGGUGAAAGGCCAAUCAAACCGGGAGAUAGCUGGUUCUCCCCGAAAGCUAUUUAGGUAGCGCCUCGUGAAUUCAUCUCCGGGGGUAGAGCACUGUUUCGGCAAGGGGGUCAUCCCGACUUACCAACCCGAUGCAAACUGCGAAUACCGGAGAAUGUUAUCACGGGAGACACACGGCGGGUGCUAACGUCCGUCGUGAAGAGGGAAACAACCCAGACCGCCAGCUAAGGUCCCAAAGUCAUGGUUAAGUGGGAAACGAUGUGGGAAGGCCCAGACAGCCAGGAUGUUGGCUUAGAAGCAGCCAUCAUUUAAAGAAAGCGUAAUAGCUCACUGGUCGAGUCGGCCUGCGCGGAAGAUGUAACGGGGCUAAACCAUGCACCGAAGCUGCGGCAGCGACACUGUGUGUUGUUGGGUAGGGGAGCGUUCUGUAAGCCUGCGAAGGUGUGCUGUGAGGCAUGCUGGAGGUAUCAGAAGUGCGAAUGCUGACAUAAGUAACGAUAAAGCGGGUGAAAAGCCCGCUCGCCGGAAGACCAAGGGUUCCUGUCCAACGUUAAUCGGGGCAGGGUGAGUCGACCCCUAAGGCGAGGCCGAAAGGCGUAGUCGAUGGGAAACAGGUUAAUAUUCCUGUACUUGGUGUUACUGCGAAGGGGGGACGGAGAAGGCUAUGUUGGCCGGGCGACGGUUGUCCCGGUUUAAGCGUGUAGGCUGGUUUUCCAGGCAAAUCCGGAAAAUCAAGGCUGAGGCGUGAUGACGAGGCACUACGGUGCUGAAGCAACAAAUGCCCUGCUUCCAGGAAAAGCCUCUAAGCAUCAGGUAACAUCAAAUCGUACCCCAAACCGACACAGGUGGUCAGGUAGAGAAUACCAAGGCGCUUGAGAGAACUCGGGUGAAGGAACUAGGCAAAAUGGUGCCGUAACUUCGGGAGAAGGCACGCUGAUAUGUAGGUGAAGUCCCUCGCGGAUGGAGCUGAAAUCAGUCGAAGAUACCAGCUGGCUGCAACUGUUUAUUAAAAACACAGCACUGUGCAAACACGAAAGUGGACGUAUACGGUGUGACGCCUGCCCGGUGCCGGAAGGUUAAUUGAUGGGGUCAGCGCAAGCGAAGCUCUUGAUCGAAGCCCCGGUAAACGGCGGCCGUAACUAUAACGGUCCUAAGGUAGCGAAAUUCCUUGUCGGGUAAGUUCCGACCUGCACGAAUGGCGUAAUGAUGGCCAGGCUGUCUCCACCCGAGACUCAGUGAAAUUGAACUCGCUGUGAAGAUGCAGUGUACCCGCGGCAAGACGGAAAGACCCCGUGAACCUUUACUAUAGCUUGACACUGAACAUUGAGCCUUGAUGUGUAGGAUAGGUGGGAGGCUUUGAAGUGUGGACGCCAGUCUGCAUGGAGCCGGCCUUGAAAUACCACCCUUUAAUGUUUGAUGUUCUAACGUUGACCCGUGAUCCGGGUUGCGGACAGUGUCUGGUGGGUAGUUUGACUGGGGCGGUCUCCUCCUAAAGAGUAACGGAGGAGCACGAAGGUUGGCUAAUCCUGGUCGGACAUCAGGAGGUUAGUGCAAUGGCAUAAGCCAGCUUGACUGCGAGCGUGACGGCGCGAGCAGGUGCGAAAGCAGGUCAUAGUGAUCCGGUGGUUCUGAAUGGAAGGGCCAUCGCUCAACGGAUAAAAGGUACUCCGGGGAUAACAGGCUGAUACCGCCCAAGAGUUCAUAUCGACGGCGGUGUUUGGCACCUCGAUGUCGGCUCAUCACAUCCUGGGGCUGAAGUAGGUCCCAAGGGUAUGGCUGUUCGCCAUUUAAAGUGGUACGCGAGCUGGGUUUAGAACGUCGUGAGACAGUUCGGUCCCUAUCUGCCGUGGGCGCUGGAGAACUGAGGGGGGCUGCUCCUAGUACGAGAGGACCGGAGUGGACGCAUCACUGGUGUUCGGGUUGUCAUGCCAAUGGCACUGCCCGGUAGCUAAAUGCGGAAGAGAUAAGUGCUGAAAGCAUCUAAGCACGAAACUUGCCCCGAGAUGAGUUCUCCCUGACUCCUUGAGAGUCCUGAAGGAACGUUGAAGACGACGACGUUGAUAGGCCGGGUGUGUAAGCGCAGCGAUGCGUUGAGCUAACCGGUACUAAUGAACCGUGAGG